RNAcentral lists this ribosomal RNA (731 nucleotides) under Stenotrophomonas sp. RMSv. Its description in RNAcentral is "partial 16S ribosomal RNA". It matches the Rfam family "Bacterial small subunit ribosomal RNA", at positions 776 to 1502 of the family's 1533-position model. Lineage: Bacteria; Pseudomonadati; Pseudomonadota; Gammaproteobacteria; Lysobacterales; Lysobacteraceae. The record is from RNAcentral.
GWUUUWGAWWAMCCUGGUAGUCCACGCCCUAAACGAUGCGAACUGGAUGUUGGGUGCAAUUUGGCACGCAGUAUCGRAGCUAACGCGUUAAGUUCGCCGCCUGGGGAGUACGGUCGCAAGACUGAAACUCAAAGGAAUUGACGGGGGCCCGCACMAGCGGUGGAGUAUGUGGUUUAAUUYGAUGCAACGCGAAGAACCUUACCUGGCCUUGACAUGUCGAGAACUUUCCAGAGAUGGAUUGGUGCCUUYGGGAACUCGAACACAGGUGCUGCAUGGCUGUYGUCAGCUCGUGUCGUGAGAUGUUGGGUUAAGUCCCGCAACGAGCGCAACCCUUGUCCUUAGUUGCCAGCACGUAAUGGUGGGAACUYUAAGGAGRCCGCCGGUGRCAAACCGGAGGAAGGKGGGGAWGRCGUCAAGUCAUCAUGGCCCUUWCGGCCAGGGCUWCMCMCGUWCUWCAAUGGUAGGGACAGAGGGSUGCAAGCCGGCGRCGGUAARCCAAUCCCAGAAACCCUAUYUCAGUCCGGAUUGGAGUYUGCAACUYGACUCCAUGAAGUCGGAAUCGCUAGUAAUCGCAGAUCAGCAUUGCUGCGGUGAAUACGUUCCCGGGCCUUGUACACACCGCCCGUCACACCAUGGGAGUUUGUUGCACCAGAAGCAGGUAGCUUAACCUUCGGGAGGGCGCUUGCCACGGUGUGGCYSAUGACUGGGGUGAAGUCGKAACAACGWGKSCG